UGCAAGUCACUCCAAUGUGGGUACCGAUUAUAAUGCCUGUAGUGGAUGUUCUGCUCUGUUCAUCUUUCACACAGUCACAUGGGCCAUCCAGCACUGAAGAAACAAAGCACACAUUGCAGUUGUUGGUCAGGGAGGGCCUCUCGAAGUGAAACAAAUCUCAAGGUGGCAUUCCCGUCCCCAUGUUGGUUGUAUGCAAGAACCUUUAUCUCAUAGACCAGCGAAGAAUCUGGACAGAGUUAUUCGGAAGAGGAUAUCUUUUCUGAGCUGAAAAUUAAACCUUUAUUGAUAAGUCUUCAAAUCUUUUUAAUAGCUGAUUCUUUGUUAUUACAGAGUCAUGGAGGUCUCAUGACAAAAACACAUUUGCUUUGAUACAUAACUGACCCAAGGUGUCAAAGCAUUGUUGCCAUGAUGACAGAUGUCCAAAUCAGGACAUUUACCAAGCACUAUAGGAAAAAUUGGUGCUAGCUCACAGAUUGUUUUACAGUUUGUUUCCUCUGCUGCUUUGUUUGUUGGCAGACUGCAGCCUCGUAUGUCAUCUCCUCAGACAAAGUUGCAUUUAAUUGCUAAGUGAACAAAUGAACGAAAAUUAGAUUUCCUUGUCUGUAGCUUGGUAAAGUUUCCCAAAAGGGCAGCUUACACAGUGAACAAAAGUGUGUUUGUUUUUUAUGUUUGCUUCAGUUAUGUUUGUUUAAGGUAAAAAAUGACUUGAUUUUAA
This is a long non-coding RNA of Melanotaenia boesemani (Boeseman's rainbowfish), 715 nucleotides long. RefSeq lists it as uncharacterized. NCBI's taxonomy places the organism in Eukaryota, Metazoa, Chordata, Actinopteri, Atheriniformes, Melanotaeniidae. The transcript has 3 exons. The record is from RefSeq and is a predicted model, not a curated record.